GGCAUUGCUGGUAUUUUUACAUGUAUAUUUCCAACUUUUUCUCCUAAGUGCAGCCUCCUCACAGUACGGUGAAAUCCUUGCAGAACCGGUUCAAGGCUUCUCAGCCAUGUAAACAAUACUGAUUUUUGCUGUUCUAAGGAAGAGGAACCAGGACUGGAGCUGGGCCAGGAGGGUCUUGCUAGGGGAAGGAAAGGGGAUGUUGUGGGCAGACAAAGAACUUGGGGUAACCCUGGCAGAAAGCUUGCUAUGCCUUUCUGGUCUCUGUGGGUGGGAAGUCCUCCCCCUCCCAUAGCUGUCAGUCCUGCAUGCUCUGAUUUCUCUUUCAGAAGCUUGCCUGACUUUCCAGGAAACAGACCCAGGGCUUUGCUACUGUCCCCAGCACUCUUCUUCCAGCCAAGUACUACUUUGUCUGUGGUUUAAGUUGACCUUGACUACUCAGCUGUUUCCUUGAGGCACUUUUUACAGCAAACACCUUUCCAUCCCUCUGGCUGCAUUAUCAAGGGCAAAAAGCUCAAAAUGACAGCCAGUACCAAGAACACCUAUAUGAAAAUGGACUUUUUCUCGUAUUAUUUUUCCUCAGAAAUCCUCAUAAAUAGCGGGUAUCUGAAGCACACCCUCUAUUUCUGGAAUGUAAGAACUGAAAUGAGGAGAGCUCCCUCCGGCUCUCCUCAUUUCAAUAAGAGGUUUGUCCCCGACUUUCGGCUUAGAGAAGAGGAGACUGAGGUGCGACCUCAUGGCAGCCUGCAGCUUCCUCCCAAGGGGAGUGGAGGGGCCGAUGCUGAGCUCUGCUCCCUGGGAACAGCAACGUGAUCCUUGUGGGUACCUCUUAGCUCAGGAUAUUCUAGGAUUCUAAUUCCCAUAUCCCACUGAAUGCUAAAAAUAUGCCUGUAGCUGUGUCACAUUUAGGCUGGAGUGCAACAUUCUUUUGUCACAGAUGCUGAAAGACCAAAAGAUUUGCCACAGGAUUGUUUUUCUGCUUCUUGACAUAUUUCAUUUACCAUCACAGAGACCAGAAGUUCUCUCCCUGAGAGUUAAGCCACAUCUCAAAGGAAUAUUGCAGCUCUGUGCCUACAUCCUGUCUUGCAUCAUAAAAACAAGCCUUGUUUUCAUUCACAUCAAUGAUCUUUGUAAGGCAGACUGUUUACAAAGGUCUGUUAUGUGUGGAUGACCAUCUACAACAAAUAAAAUGCCAGCCAAACAACCACAACAAACUGUGGUUUUAAAAUCAGCAUCAUCAUUUCAUGCCAAGAUGAAGAUUUUAUCUAGAAGAUUGUUACUUAUGUGCAAGAAAGAUUAGCUUAAAUCAAAGAAGACACAGGGAAGAACUCUGAGAGUGCCUAGAAGACUUCAUGUUCUGCAAAGAGAUGAAAUGGGUUUACAUUGUCGAGAGGAGCUAUGGGGACUUUUUACAGGUACCUUAAUGGAAAAGACCUAUUAAUGCAGUGGGAUAGAAAUGGAAAAACAUCAAGAGAUUUUGCAUCAGUGCUGGGUGAAAGUACAUUGGAAGUUAGAAGAACUUUUCAAGUAUCUGCAAGAAUCUUUCCAAUGGCAGAUGUGAGGGCAGAGACCUUAAUUAAAUCUUUUUAAGAUGAUGUCCCAGAGAGGUGAAGCAACAUCUGGUAUCAGAUGUGUUUUUGUUUCUUACGGGCUUGGAAGGAGAUUCACUUGCUUUUUCUGUGUCAUAGUUAUGCUGUAUUAAUCUUCUGAAUCUCUGCAGCCACUGGCUGUCUGCAGAGAUAAAAACUGGAAUCCAAGAUAGCAGUUUUGGGUGCACAGAAUCACACAAAAACUGUGUUUAUCAGACAUUUUUCACUAACAACUCCUACUGCAAUGUGAAUAUGCACUUUAUGUACCAACAUGUGCUUUUGGCAAAGUAAACUGAUCAGAAAGCUACCUCAUGUCCAGUAAAGCUGAAAGAAAUAUUCUUUUGAUCCAAAUAAUGAUAAAAGUAUCAACAAUUUUGCUUCUUACUAAUUGACUAGAUCAGCAUAUUUUUCUGUAAACUAGGAAAGAAAUUUUUCUUGCUGAGCUAUCAAUUACAUUUACAAGUAAGUCUUAGUGGCAAACCUGUUCUUUUGUUUUGUUUUGUUCUUUCAUUUAUUGAGUAGUCAGAUAGACCUUAAAUAGUCCCUCAUGCUAAACAGCUGAGAAGUGAGCUCUCAGCUGUGUUUGGAGACCAACAAUGUUAGUAUUCAGUGAUAAUAUCAUGAUUACAUGCAUAAGAACCAAAAAUACAUCUGUGUUUAGAUGGGGAAAGGGGACUUCUCACUUUGAAAACAAAAUAGUAUUCAAAUAUGUUAUUUAAAUUCAUUUCACCAAGUCUUUCCGUACUGAAAAUAAAUGUAAAAUCUAUUUUUUCCCUGUAAGAACAGGCACAGCAAUUCAGAAAAUGAUAUACAGUCUUGUAUUUAUUAUAAAUUUUGUUUUACAUUUCAGCCCCUGGUGCAUUAUGAAUAAAGCCUCACAAUGGCUUGCAGGUGGCAAAACUCUGAGCAUAUCUGAAACAUUAAGAUAUUUCAUACACAUUUUCUUUACAGUUGAAUGGAUGGCUUCUGAAAACGUAAAAACCUUUUACGUAUUUAUUAUUGCAGUGAUAGUAUUAGUAUAGUAUUAUUGCAGUGAUGCUUGGUGACAAAAACCAAAAUAACUAUGAUUAUGGUUUUAAGGUUAGAGAUGUAUUUAAUGACCAUGAGACAAAAAAAAAAAAAAAGAAAAAAAAAGGUUUUAAACACUAAAAUCUUACAGCAUUUGUUUCACUUCAAUUGAUCAUAUUGCCUCUAAGCAAGCUGCUUACUGAUAUCAAGAAAUUCCUUUUUUCCUCUGUCUCUUUCUUUCUUUUUAAUACAUUCACUUAGAAUCUCCUUUGGUUAAUUCCUUAUUAGUUUGAAAACUGCAUCUUUCUUAAACUAGACAAAACCCUACUUUGUAGUUCUUCUGAACGAAGCUUACAGAUGACUUGGUAUUACCACCAGUUUGGUGAUGGCUACCUCCUUGGUGUAGCUAAACCUGUGCAGGUGUUUCCAGCUGAGUGAUGCGAUGCUAGGCUAGGGCUUGGCUAGGAUAUUGAUUUAAAUGCUCUGCGGUUAAGCACAGUGUAAAAUUUUGUGAUAAAAUAUGAGAAGUUGCUUGUGUU
This is a non-coding RNA of Anas platyrhynchos (mallard), 3133 nucleotides long. The record is from RefSeq and is a predicted model, not a curated record. NCBI's taxonomy places the organism in Eukaryota, Metazoa, Chordata, Aves, Anseriformes, Anatidae.